AUUGAACGCUGGCGGCAGGCCUAACACGUGCAAGUCGAGCGGAUGAAGGGAGCUUGCUCCUGGAUUCAGCGGCGGACGGGUGAGUAAUGCCUAGGAAUCUGCCUGGUAGUGGGGGAUAACGUCCGGAAACGGGCGCUAAUACCGCAUACGUCCUGAGGGAGAAAGUGGGGGAUCUUCGGACCUCACGCUAUCAGAUGAGCCUAGGUCGGAUUAGCUAGUUGGUGGGGUAAAGGCCUACCAAGGCGACGAUCCGUAACUGGUCUGAGAGGAUGAUCAGUCACACUGGAACUGAGACACGGUCCAGACUCCUACGGGAGGCAGCAGUGGGGAAUAUUGGACAAUGGGCGAAAGCCUGAUCCAGCCAUGCCGCGUGUGUGAAGAAGGUCUUCGGAUUGUAAAGCACUUUAAGUUGGGAGGAAGGGCAGUAAGUUAAUACCUUGCUGUUUUGACGUUACCAACAGAAUAACCACCGGCUAACUUCGUG
Molecule: ribosomal RNA, 484 nt
Filed under: uncultured bacterium
Lineage: Bacteria
Description: partial 16S ribosomal RNA
Rfam family: Bacterial small subunit ribosomal RNA
Source: RNAcentral